UAGGGAAUCUUCCACAAUGGGCGAAAGCCUGAUGGAGCAACGCCGCGUGUGUGAUGAAGGUUUUCGGAUCGUAAAACUCUGUUGGUAGAGAAGAACGUUGGUGAGAGUGGAAAGCUCAUCAAGUGACGGUAACUACCCAGAAAGGGACGGCUAACUACGUGACCAG
This 166-nucleotide ribosomal RNA is filed under the name uncultured bacterium. RNAcentral's name for it is "partial 16S ribosomal RNA". It matches the Rfam family "Bacterial small subunit ribosomal RNA", at positions 355 to 511 of the family's 1533-position model. The record is from RNAcentral.